CAAUCCCAUCAGCAACCAGACUCAACAUCUGGACAUCACUCACCUCUGUCACACAUGUGCAGAUCAAGGUCUACCUUUAUUGUACAUAGUGCUGAUUUCCGCUGGAUCUCUGUUGAUUGUAGUCGUGAUGUGCUGCCUCUGCAAGAAAUGUAGAAAAACGGGUCAAAAGAUUGAGACCUGGAAGGAUUCAGCUCUCUGUCAACAGAAAACACGAAAAAUAAAGAAGGAGGCUGUAUAUUCAAAUCUCCCCAAAAGACGAUGAUCAAAUACCUCUUUUUACACCUCUUUAGUUCACACACACACUGUGACACACACACACACACACACCCCUUGUAUAACAUUGUUGGGUUUGUUAUGUAUGAGAUGUUGUUGUUCAUGUAUCAUAGUUUACUUUUGUGGUUCACAAAUAGUACAGCAUCCAGAAACUCAACUAAAUGUUCUAUUUUUAACACAUGGAAAUGCACUAACUUUAUUAAAGGUGCAGUGUGUAAAUUUUAGAGGCAUCUAGCCACGAGGUUGCAAAUUGCAAUAUAGAGAAGCUACGGUGGACAACACAGGACAAAAAUGUUGUCAUCUGAGACAGCAGAGAGAAGUCAGUCAAGCAAAUGUACUCUGUAGAGCAGUUUGUCCAUUUAGGGCUGCUGUAGAAACAUUGCUGCGCAAAAUGGCGAUUUAAAAUG
Long non-coding RNA from Megalobrama amblycephala (Wuchang bream), 680 nucleotides. RefSeq lists it as uncharacterized. The transcript is spliced from 4 exons. NCBI's taxonomy places the organism in Eukaryota, Metazoa, Chordata, Actinopteri, Cypriniformes, Xenocyprididae. The record is from RefSeq and is a predicted model, not a curated record.